This 68-nucleotide transfer RNA is filed under the name Littoraria ardouiniana. RNAcentral describes it as "tRNA-Trp". Lineage: Eukaryota; Metazoa; Mollusca; Gastropoda; Littorinimorpha; Littorinidae. The record is from RNAcentral.
AAGAUUUUAAGUUAAUUAUAAACUGUAAGCCUUCAAAGCUUAAAAUAAGAAAGAGUUCUUAAAUCUUG